RNAcentral lists this unclassified non-coding RNA (358 nucleotides) under Hevea brasiliensis (rubber tree). Lineage: Eukaryota; Viridiplantae; Streptophyta; Magnoliopsida; Malpighiales; Euphorbiaceae. The record is from RNAcentral.
GUUGUAUGCUUGCUCCGCCGCCAUUGGCCAUCCGAUCAUCGGAACCCCCUGGCUCAAGCUCUCCACCGUCGAAUUCCACCCACAGUGGCUCAAAAACGCCCCCACUGAUUCGUGCGACAAAAUUUCCAAUUGGGGUGCCCAAUUUCUGAUCAACAAUCCUCGAUUCGUCUCCUUCAUUCGCUCCUCAAAUCGAUCUGGCAGCCAUUGAUGAGCUCUGAACUCUGCUUUCAUGUCCUGUCCCAAUGGCGGCCUCACAACCCAUAUGAACGCUUUCCCACUUUCCUCCAAUCCGUGAGCUAAUUCCAGCAUCUGGGUCUCGUUGAUUGUGUUUUGAGAUCCGAAUGAGAUGUACAGAACG